RNAcentral lists this ribosomal RNA (497 nucleotides) under uncultured bacterium. RNAcentral's name for it is "partial 16S ribosomal RNA". It matches the Rfam family "Bacterial small subunit ribosomal RNA", at positions 28 to 507 of the family's 1533-position model. The record is from RNAcentral.
GAUGAACGCUGGCGGCGUGCCUAAUACAUGCAAGUCGAGCGAACGGACGAGAAGCUUGCUUCUCUGAUGUUAGCGGCGGACGGGUGAGUAACACGUGGAUAACCUACCUAUAAGACUGGGAUAACUUCGGGAAACCGGAGCUAAUACCGGAUGAUAUUUUGAACCGCAUGGUUCAAAAGUGAAAGACGGUCUUGCUGUCACUUAUAGAUGGAUCCGCGCUGCAUUAGCUAGUUGGUAAGGUAACGGCUUACCAAGGCAACGAUGCAUAGCCGACCUGAGAGAGUGACCGGCCACACUGGAACUGAGACACGGUCCAGACUCCUACGGGAGGCAGCAGUAGGGAAUCUUCCGCAAUGGGCGAAAGCCUGACGGAGCAACGCCGCGUGAGUGAUGAAGGUCUUCGGAUCGUAAAACUCUGUUAUUAGGGAAGAACAUAUGUGUAAGUAACUGUGCACAUCUUGACGGUACCUAAUCAGAAAGCCACGGCUAACUACGUG